RNAcentral lists this ribosomal RNA (420 nucleotides) under uncultured bacterium. Its description in RNAcentral is "partial 16S ribosomal RNA". It matches the Rfam family "Bacterial small subunit ribosomal RNA", at positions 917 to 1338 of the family's 1533-position model. The record is from RNAcentral.
GGACCCGCACAAGCGGUGGAACAUGUGGUUUAAUUCGAUAAUACGCGAAAAACCUUACCAAGUUUUGACAUAUUAGUCAUAUGUUUAGGAAACUAUUCAGUCAGACUUUAGCUGGACUAUUACAGGUGUUGCAUGGCUGUCGUCAGCUCGUGUCGUGAGAUGUUGAAUUAAGUUUCGUAACGAGCGUAACCCUUAUUUUUAGUUGCUAUUAAAAAAAAUAAGCACUUUAAAAAACUGCCAUAUUUUUGGAGGAAGGUGAGGAUGACGUCAAGUCAGUAUGGCCCUUAUAACUUGGGCUACACACGUGUUACAAUGACGGUUACAAUAUGAAGCAAAAAGAUGACUUAGAGCAAAUCUUAAAAAAUCGUCUCAGUUCAGAUUGUACCCUGCAACUCGGAUACAUGAAGUUGGAAUCGCUAG